Molecule: ribosomal RNA, 253 nt
Filed under: uncultured bacterium
Lineage: Bacteria
Description: partial 16S ribosomal RNA
Rfam family: Bacterial small subunit ribosomal RNA
Source: RNAcentral
UACAGAGGUGGCAAGCGUUGUUCGGAAUUACUGGGCGUAAAGGGCGCGUAGGUGGCCUUCUUAGUCAGACGUGAAAUCCCCAGGCUUAACCUGGGAACUGCGUCUGAUACUGGAAGGCUUGAGUUCGGGAGAGGAAUGUGGAAUUCCAGGUGUAGCGGUGAAAUGCGUAGAUAUCUGGAGGAACACCGGUGGCGAAGGCGGCAUUCUGGACCGAAACUGACGCUGAGGCGCGAAAGCCAGGGGAGCAAACGGG